UGGGGAAUUUUGCACAAUGGGGGAAACCCUGAUGCAGCGACGCCGCGUGAUUUAGAAGGCCUUCGGGUUGUAAAAAUCUUUUCUAUGGGAAGAAAAUGACAGUACCAUAGGAAUAGGACCGUCUAAUUACGUGCCAGCAGCCGCGGUAAUACGUAAGGUCCGAGCGUUGUCCGGAAUCAUUGGGCGUAAAGGGUACGUAGGCGGGUAAGCAAGUUAGAAGUGAAAUCCUAUAGCUCAACUAUAGUAAGCUUUUAAAACUGCUCAUCUUGAGGUAUGGAAGGGAAAGUGGAAUUCCUAGUGUAGCGGUGAAAUGCGCAGAUAUUAGGAGGAAUACCGGUGGCGAAGGCGACUUUCUGGCCAUAACCUGACGCUGAGGUACGAAAGCGUGGGUAGCAAACAGG
RNAcentral lists this ribosomal RNA (401 nucleotides) under bacterium. RNAcentral's name for it is "partial 16S ribosomal RNA". It matches the Rfam family "Bacterial small subunit ribosomal RNA", at positions 355 to 776 of the family's 1533-position model. The record is from RNAcentral.